UAGUUAAGUGGGGUUUCUUAAUUUAAUUGAGAUUAAAAAUAAAAGAAAAAUCCCUAUUUAGUGAAGUAACGUCGCUUAAUUAGGUCCUCUAAGAAAUGUUUCCAACUAGACACGCGUCGCAGAAUCAGAUGUCUAGUCUCUCUCAUCUCCAUCUUUCUCCCCACUUCGUGUUCUCCGUCGGUUUCGAAACCGUGAAGAAGGGCGAUUGAUCUCUCCUCGACAGAAGAUUCAGACGACGAUUCCGUGUCUCCUCCUUGAUCUCUCGGUGGUCGGCGUGAUUCUCGUUGUCUCUCUGGUGGCUGUCGUCGGCGACUCCGCCUCUCUUUUGUGAUCUCUCCUCGACACAGAGAAACACUCGGGGUCUCACUCCUCGAGGACUCCGCCUAUGUUUCCUCAUCGACGAUUAAACCAUCCAUCUCUCUCUCUCGACGGUUCUCAACUUGGCGAGCUCUGUCUGGGUAGCUCAACUUGACGAAAGAAAAACGGCGACCUCUAUUUCGUGUUCUGUCUCAUCGAAGCAUCAAAUCGGCGACAGUUGGUGCUCGGUCGAAUGAAUCAAAAGGUAAAGAACUGUUUUUUGUUUGUAUGUCUAAAUCCUUUAAUUCAUGUUUGUCUUAAAUUGAUCUUAAAUAUCGGUCAAUUUGUGAUUAUGUCGCUUGUGAUUCUUAGUGAAAUAUUUCAGUGAAAUUGUCUUUGAUACAUUUGUGAUUCGUUGUAAAAUUCAUUUGUGAUUCUCGGUGAAUUUAAAUCAUUUCUAAUUCUCAGUGAAUGUUUUCUCUUGUGUUUGUUACAUACCGGUCAAUUUGUGUGGGAGAUGGAAGGAACCUCCAAGAGACAUGAAGGCUUAACUAACAAGUGAACCUCGAAGAGACAUGAAGUCUCGGCUAACCAUCACCAAACCAGUUAUAUGUCUAGUCGUGGGGGUUGAGCAUGAUGAAUGUUGUGAUCAAUGAUGAUCAGAAGCUCAUUUCUUUUCUCUCUUCUAUUAAAGACAUUCCUUCUUCUCUUCGAUCAUUCAAACACUCCUUCCAUUUCCUUUUUAUCAAGAAAACACAUUCCUUUUCCUUCUGUUCCAUCUCUCUUCUUUAAAAAAAAAUCAGAUAUGGAUGGUACUUCAUAUCAAAACUUUGUUGAUCUUCUACAAAGUCAAGAAGAUACUAGCUUCGGUUUUCAAUCUUCUGGUACACAUCUGUCUCGCACUCAAGCUCAUGAAGUCACUAACUUGGAAGAAGACACUCCUCCUGGGCAUAAAGAAAAAAGGGCGUGGACACCUUCAGAUGCUGUAGUUCUCAUCAGUUCCUGGUUAAACACCAGUAAAGAUCCUGUGGUCAGGAAUGAGCAAAAGUCCGUUGCUUUCUGGAGUAGAAUAGCAGCGUACUACGCGGCUAGUCCCAAGGUGGCUGGGACUGAAACAAGAGAGCCUUGACGCAAGCUUCCUCGCCGAGACUUUGAAUCCUUUUGAUUGAGGUUGUUGGAAGAAAUAUUACAACGGCAUAAAGUGUCAGUUCUUGUCUCUCUGGUAACUAGACUAUGCGACGGAGGAGAUGUGAAGGCGUCCGGAUACAUAUAAAGAAUAAUAUAUACACAGAUACAUCUGGAUCUUUACAUUGAAUCAUAAUGUACAAUAUUAAGAAACAAAAUCUGUAUCAUUUAAGACAAUGAUUUGGUACCACAUUUGGUCUCUUUACAUCUGUAUAUGCUGUUGUUAUCAUGUUUCAAAUAAAUGCUUAUGAUUUAGUAACAAGUUCUGAACGUUUUACUCGUCUAGUAAUAAGAUAAUGUUACAUUUUUCUUAUGAAUGUGAAUUAUUGAAACUUGAUUUGGUUGUUGGACAAAAAAUUUCACACCUUCUUUUCAACAUCACCAAUAUCUUUUUGAAUCCACAUUAUAUGUAUGCAGAUUAUAAAGAAACACAAUCAGGUCUUCAGAGUAGGCUCAUCUCUCAUAACUAGCAUAGUUACAGAGCGUAAACUAAACAAGUUUUGCAUCAAAUCUCCAUUGGAAUUAGAACAAUCUCAGAAACAACAAACUUAGAAAGCUAGAAAUCAAGAGUCACUUAAAGGGCAAAAAAAAACAGGUAAAGAAACAGAAGAACAAACCAACAGCAAUACUAAAACCA
This is a long non-coding RNA of Brassica napus (rape), 2119 nucleotides long. RefSeq lists it as uncharacterized. Lineage: Eukaryota; Viridiplantae; Streptophyta; Magnoliopsida; Brassicales; Brassicaceae. The record is from RefSeq and is a predicted model, not a curated record. The transcript has 3 exons.